RNAcentral lists this unclassified non-coding RNA (334 nucleotides) under soil metagenome. RNAcentral's name for it is "partial contains 5.8S ribosomal RNA, internal transcribed spacer 2, and large subunit ribosomal RNA". The stretch from base 1 to 120 matches the Rfam family "5.8S ribosomal RNA", at positions 35 to 154 of the family's 154-position model. The record is from RNAcentral.
GAUGAAGAACGUAGCGAAAUGCGAUAAGUAAUGUGAAUUGCAGAAUUCAGUGAAUCAUCGAAUCUUAGAACGCACAUUGCGCCCGCCAGUAUUCUGGCGAGCAUGCCUGUUCGAGCGUCAUUUCAACCAUCAAGCCCCAGGCUUGUGUUGGAGCCCUGCGGCUGCCGCAGCCUCCCAAAACCAGUGGCGGGCUCGCUAUCACACCGAGUGCAGUAGUUUACUCUUCGCUCAGGGCGUGUGGCGGGUGCUAGCCGUGAAACCCCCAACUUCUCAAGGUUGACCUCGGAUCAGGUAGGAAUACCCGCUGAACUUAAGCAUAUCAAUAAGCGGAGGA